RNAcentral lists this ribosomal RNA (234 nucleotides) under uncultured bacterium. RNAcentral's name for it is "partial 16S ribosomal RNA". It matches the Rfam family "Bacterial small subunit ribosomal RNA", at positions 104 to 334 of the family's 1533-position model. The record is from RNAcentral.
CGGGACGGGGUGAGUAAUGUCUGGGAAACUGCCCGAUGGAGGGGGAUAACUACUGGAAACGGUAGCUAAUACCGCAUAACGUCGCAAGACCAAAGAGGGGGACCUUAGGGCCUCUUGCCAUCGGAUGUGCCCAGAUGGGAUUAGCUAGUAGGUGGGGUAAUGGCUCACCUAGGCGACGAUCCCUAGCUGGUCUGAGAGGAUGACCAGCCACACUGGAACUGAGACACGGUCCAG